RNAcentral lists this ribosomal RNA (475 nucleotides) under uncultured bacterium. RNAcentral's name for it is "partial 16S ribosomal RNA". It matches the Rfam family "Bacterial small subunit ribosomal RNA", at positions 28 to 504 of the family's 1533-position model. The record is from RNAcentral.
GACGAACGCUGGCGGCGUGCUUAACACAUGCAAGUCGAACGUGAUUUUUGUGGAAAUUCUUUCGGGAAUGGAAAUGAAAUGAAAGUGGCGAACGGGUGAGUAACACGUGAGCAACCUACCUUACACAGGGGGAUAGCCGUUGGAAACGACGAUUAAUACCGCAUGAGACCACAGAAUCGCAUGAUAUAGGGGUCAAAGAUUUAUCGGUGUAAGAAGGGCUCGCGUCUGAUUAGCUAGUUGGAAGGGUAAAGGCCUACCAAGGCGACGAUCAGUAGCCGGUCUGAGAGGAUGAACGGCCACAUUGGAACUGAGACACGGUCCAAACUCCUACGGGAGGCAGCAGUGGGGAAUAUUGCACAAUGGGGGGAACCCUGAUGCAGCGACGCCGCGUGAGCGAAGAAGGUUUUCGAAUCGUAAAGCUCUGUCCGAUGAGAAGAUAAUGACGGUAUCAUAGGAGGAAGCCCCGGCUAAAUAC